GGACUACACGGGUUUCUAAUCCUGUUCGCUCCCCUAGCUUUCGCACCUGAGCGUCAGACACCAGCCAGGACACUGCCUUCGCCUUUGGUAUUCCUCCGGAUAUCUACGCAUUUCACCACUCCACCCGGAAUUCUAUGUCCCUCUCUGGUCCUCAAGUGGCACAGUUUUCAGAGGCCUUGCUCGGUUAAGCUGAGCACUGUCACUCCAAACCUGCUCCACCGCCUGCGUGCGCUUUACGCCCAAUAAAUCCGGACAACGCUCGCCCCCUACGUAUUACCGCGGCGGCUGGCCAC
This 293-nucleotide ribosomal RNA is filed under the name uncultured bacterium. RNAcentral's name for it is "partial 16S ribosomal RNA". The record is from RNAcentral.